Molecule: long non-coding RNA, 1419 nt
Organism: Pan troglodytes (chimpanzee)
Lineage: Eukaryota; Metazoa; Chordata; Mammalia; Primates; Hominidae
Exons: 2
Source: RefSeq, a predicted model, not a curated record
UGGCCUGUCUGGGUCCCCCUCCCAGUCUGAGCGUCAUUGCAGUGGAAUAUCUCCCCUUCUCACCAAUCAUAACACGUCACUGUGGCAGCAGCGGAUAGCUGGAAACCACCUGCCAGUGCCCAGCAUGUAGGGCGUGCCCCUAGAGCGGGAGCUGCCACCUGCUUCCUGGGGCCCAGGCCCCCCAGCCACCUUGGAGGGAGGUGGUGUGCAUCUGUGCUCCCAGCUACUGAGGAAGCUGAGGUGGGAGGAUUGCUUGAGCCCAGGAGGUUGAGGCUGCAAUUGCACCACUGCACUCCAGGAUGGGCAGCGGCGUGAGACUCUGUCUCAAAAACAAAAACCAGUGCUCUUCAAAAAUGAAGUUUUUGAAAUGGAAAAAGUAGGCCAGGUGCAGUGGCUCACACCUGUAAUCCCAGUGCUUUGGGAGGCCAAGGCGGGCGGAUCACUUGAGGUCAAGGAGUUUGAGGCCAGCCUGGCCAACAUAGUGAAACCCUGUCUCUACUAAAAAUACAAAAGUUAGCUGGGCAUGGUGGCACGUGCCUGUAAUCCCAGCUACUCUGGAGGCUGAGGCAGGAGAAUCACUUGAACCCAGGACGUGGAGGUGGCAGUGAGCCGAGAUCGCACCACUGCACGCCACCCUGAGAGACAGCGAGAUUUCGUCUAAAGAAAAAAAAAAAAGGUUGGGCGUGGUGGUGGCUCACACCUGUAAUCCUAGCAUUUUGGGAGGCCAAGGAGGGCAGAUCAUGAGGUCAGGAGUUCAAGACCAGCCUGGCCAACAUGGUGAAACCCCAUCUCUACUAAAUAUACAAAAAUUAGCUGGGUGUGGUGGCACGUGCCUGUAAUCCCAGCUACUCUGGAGGCUGAGGCAGGAAUAUCGCUUGAAGCCAGGACUUGGAGGUUGCAGUGAGCCAAGAUCGCACUACUGUACUCCAGCCUGGGAGACAGAGCAAGCCUCCAUCUCAAAAAAAGAAAAGAAAAGAAAAGAAAAAAAAAGUCCAAGCGCUGUGGCUCACACCUGCAAUCCCAGCACUUUGGGAGGCCAAGGAGGGAGGAUCAUCUGGGUCAGGAGUUCGAGACCAGCCUGGCCAACAUGGUGAAACCCCAUCUCUACUAAAAAUACAAAAAUUAGCCAGGUAUGGUGGCAUGCACCUGUAGUCCCAGCUACUUGAAAGGCUGAGGCAGGAGAAUCAUUUGAACCCGGGAGGCGGAGGUUGCAGUAAGCUGAGAUUGCAUCACUGCACUCCAGCCUGGGCUACAGAGCAAGACUCUGUUUCAAAAAAAAAAAAAGUGAAAAAGUAAUACAUGUAUGUAAUCCACAAUUCAAAUCACAUCAAAAGUGCAACUACUUUUAUCAAUUUAUGUAUUUUUCCAGCAAUUUUCCGUGUGUACAUAUGGUUUUCAUGCAUGUCAGCAUCCUUCACA